GCUUGUCUCAAAGAUUAAGCCAUGCAUGUCUAAGUGUAAAUAAGUCUAUACUGUGAAACUGCGAAUGGCUCAUUAAAUCAGUUAUCGUUUAUUUGAUGAUCUCUUACUACUUGGAUAACCGUAGUAAUUCUAGAGCUAAUACAUGCGCAAAUACCCAACUGCUUGUCGGACGGGUAGCAUUUAUUAGAUGGAAACCAAUGCGGGGCAACCCGGUAUAUGGUGAUUCAUAAUAACUUUCGGAUCGAUCUUCGGAUCGAUGCAUCAUUCAAGUUUCUGCCCUAUCAGCUUUGGAUGGUAGGGUAUUGGCCUACCAUGGCUUUAACGGGUAACGGAGAAUUAGGGUUCGAUUCCGGAGAGGGAGCCUGAGAAACGGCUACCACAUCCAAGGAAGGCAGCAGG
This 399-nucleotide ribosomal RNA is filed under the name uncultured Allapsidae. RNAcentral describes it as "partial small subunit ribosomal RNA". It matches the Rfam family "Eukaryotic small subunit ribosomal RNA", at positions 30 to 432 of the family's 1831-position model. Lineage: Eukaryota; Cercozoa; Glissomonadida; Viridiraptoridae. The record is from RNAcentral.